GAUGAACGCUGGCGGCGUGCCUAAUACAUGCAAGUCGAGCGAACGGACGAGAAGCUUGCUUCUCUGGUGUUAGCGGCGGACGGGUGAGUAACACGUGGAUAACCUACCUAUAAGACUGGGAUAACCUCGGGAAACCGGAGCUAAUACCGGAUGAUAUUUUGAACCGCAUGGUUCAAAAGUGAAAGACGGUCUUGCUGUCACUUAUAGAUGGAUCCGCGCUGCAUUAGCUAGUUGGUAAGGUAACGGCUUACCAAGGCAACGAUGCAUAGCCGACCUGAGAGGGUGAUCGGCCACACUGGAACUGAGACACGGUCCAGACUCCUACGGGAGGCAGCAGUAGGGAAUCUUCCGCAAUGGGCGAAAGCCUGACGGAGCAACGCCGCGUGAGUGAUGAAGGUCUUCGGAUCGUAAAACUCUGUUAUUAGGGAAGAACAUAUGUGUAAGUAACUGUGCACAUCUUGACGGUACCUAAUCAGAAAGCAACGGCUAACUACGUG
This 497-nucleotide ribosomal RNA is filed under the name uncultured bacterium. Its description in RNAcentral is "partial 16S ribosomal RNA". It matches the Rfam family "Bacterial small subunit ribosomal RNA", at positions 28 to 507 of the family's 1533-position model. The record is from RNAcentral.